UGGCAUUGUUAUACCAGGGUCUGCUGC
RNAcentral lists this small RNA (27 nucleotides) under Bombyx mori (domestic silkworm). Its description in RNAcentral is "ovarian small RNA-34785". Lineage: Eukaryota; Metazoa; Arthropoda; Insecta; Lepidoptera; Bombycidae. The record is from RNAcentral.